RNAcentral lists this ribosomal RNA (675 nucleotides) under uncultured archaeon. RNAcentral describes it as "bacterial SSU rRNA". It matches the Rfam family "Archaeal small subunit ribosomal RNA", at positions 4 to 656 of the family's 1478-position model. The record is from RNAcentral.
CCGGUUGAUCCUGCCGGACCUUACUGCUAUCGGGAUGAGACUAAGCCAUGCAUGUCGAGCGCUCUUCAGCUAUGUAGAGAGCGCGGCGAACGGCUCAAUAACACGUAGUUAACCUACCCUCGGGAUGGGAAUAACCCCGGGAAACUGGGAUUAAUGCCCACUAGAUGAUUAUACCUGGAAUGGCUUAUCAUCGAAAGAGUCUGGAAACAUGCUUCCAGCGUCGCCCGAGGAUGGGACCGCGUCCGAUCAGGUAGUUGGUGGGGUAAUGGCCUACCAAGCCUAUAACCGGUACGGGCCCUGAGAGGGGGAGCCCGGAGAUGGAAACUGAGAAAAGGUUCCAGGCCCUACGGGGUGCAGCAGGCGCGAAACCUCCACAAUGCGCGAAAGCGUGAUGGGGUUAUCCCGAGUGCCGUCCGAUGAGGAUGGCUUUUAAUCGAUGUAAGGAUUCGAUAGAAUAAAGGGGGGGCAAGACUGGUGUCAGCCGCCGCGGUAAUACCAGCCCCCUGAGUGGUAAGGACGAUUAUUUGGCCUAAAGCGUUCGUAGCCGGCUUAUCAAGUCUUUUGUUAAAUCCAACGAUUCAAUCGUUGGGCCGCAAAAGAUACUGUUAUGCUAGAGGACGGGAGAGGUCGACGGUAGUCCAGGGGUAGGGGUGAAAUCCUAUAAUCCUUGGAGGA